CCUACGGGUGGCAGCAGUGAGGAAUAUUGGUCAAUGGGCGAAAGCCUGAACCAGCCAAGCCGCGUGAGGGAUGAAGGUUCUAUGGAUGGUAAACCUCUUUUAUAAAGGAAUAAAGUGCGGGACGUGACCAGUAUUGAAUGUACAUUAUGAAUAAGGAUCGGCUAACUCCGUGCCAGCAGCAGCGGUAAUACGGAGGAUCCGAGCGUUAUUCGGAUUUAUUGGGCUUAACGGGUGCGUAGGCGGCCUUUUAAGUCAGCGGUGAAAGUCUGUGGCUCAACCACAGAAUUGCCGUUGAAACGGGGAGUCUUGAGUAUGUUUGAGGCAGGCGGAAUUCUUGGUGUAGCGGU
This 347-nucleotide ribosomal RNA is filed under the name uncultured bacterium. Its description in RNAcentral is "partial 16S ribosomal RNA". It matches the Rfam family "Bacterial small subunit ribosomal RNA", at positions 338 to 682 of the family's 1533-position model. The record is from RNAcentral.